CUAUCCUAUGUUACACGUGUCAUAGGAAACUGCCAACCACAAGUUGGAGGAAGGUGGGGAUGACGUCAGGUCCGCAUGGCCCUUAUGCCCAGGGCAACACACAUGGUACAAUGCUGAAGACAACGGGAAGCGAAACCGCAAGGUGGAGCAAAUCCCUUAAACUUCAGCUCAGUUCGGAUUGAGGACUGAAACUCGUCCUCAUGAAGCCGGAAUCGCUAGUAAUCGCCAAUCAGCUAUGUGGCGGUGAA
This 248-nucleotide ribosomal RNA is filed under the name uncultured bacterium. RNAcentral's name for it is "partial 16S ribosomal RNA". It matches the Rfam family "Bacterial small subunit ribosomal RNA", at positions 1105 to 1366 of the family's 1533-position model. The record is from RNAcentral.